UUUCACAUCUGCAUCUUUUAAAAAAACUUAAAAAAAAACUUUCAAAGGCUCUCUCAUCUCUCCUCCCAUUUCUAUGAGCUCCGGUGAGAAUUUCGGCACCGGUAGCCACCGUCCGCCGCCGUACAAAUCUCCCCCUUUUUCCUCGGUGAUCUCAAGAAGGGUGAUGUCAGACGCGUGGAGGAGCCAUGGUGGUGUGCGGUGCACAUGGGAGAAGCGGCGGCUGGAGAGGAGGCUAGGUUUUUUGUGUCUGCUGAAAUUUUUUUUUUUAAGGUAGCGGGCUUGGGCUGUUAGGGUCUGUAAAUUGGGUCAUUUGGUUUUGGGUUUGGGUCAUUCAAUUGGGCCCGGGCAGAUUUGGGUCCCUACAAGAAGCAUUUCGUGGAAGAUGUUAUAGGUGACCUUGAAGUAAUAAUCCGUAUCUAUUAAUGCAAGUCAUGUGCUAUGGGAAUUAUCUAUAGGUUUUCUUUCAUAAGUUUGUAAGUAAUAAUCCGCGAAGAUUAUCUCUCAAGGAAGUAAUUGCAUGGGAGUCAGAAAGACAAUCAUUCAAGGAAGAAUCCGCGAGUAUAAUCCACAAAAAUGUUAAACUUCUAUAAUUCAA
Gossypium arboreum is the source of this 595-nucleotide long non-coding RNA. RefSeq lists it as uncharacterized. The record is from RefSeq and is a predicted model, not a curated record. The transcript is spliced from 2 exons. NCBI's taxonomy places the organism in Eukaryota, Viridiplantae, Streptophyta, Magnoliopsida, Malvales, Malvaceae.